Molecule: ribosomal RNA, 393 nt
Filed under: uncultured bacterium
Lineage: Bacteria
Description: bacterial SSU rRNA
Rfam family: Bacterial small subunit ribosomal RNA
Source: RNAcentral
GACGAACGCUGGCGGCGUGCUUAACACAUGCAAGUCGAGCGGUAAGGCCCUUUUGGGGGUACACGAGCGGCGAACGGGUGAGUAACACGUGGGUGACCUGCCCUCAGCUCUGGGAUAAGCCUGGGAAACUGGGUCUAAUACUGGAUAUGACCUUUCCUCGCAUGGGGUUGGGUGGAAAGUUUUUCGGCUGGGAUGGCCCGCGGCCUAUCAGCUUGUUGGUGGGGUGAUGGCCUACCAAGGCGACGACGGGUAGCCGGCCUGAGAGGGCGACCGGCCACACUGGGACUGAGACACGGCCCAGACUCCUACGGGAGGCAGCAGUGGGAAUAUUGCGCAAUGGGCGGAAGCCUGACGCAGCGACGCCGCGUGGGGGAUGACGGCCUUCGGUUGUAA